UACGAAGGGGGCUAGCGUUGUUCGGAAUUACUGGGCGUAAAGCGCACGCAGGCGGAUUGAUAAGUCAGGGGCGAAAUCCCGGGGCUCAACCUCGGAAUUGCCUUUGAUACUGUCUAUCUUCGAGUUCGGGAGAGGUUGGCGGAAUUCCUAGUGUAGAGGUGAAAUUCGUAGAUAUUAGGAAGAACACCAGUGGCGAAGGCGGCCAACUGGCCCGAUACUGACGCUCAUGUGCGAAAGCGUGGGGAGCAAACAGG
RNAcentral lists this ribosomal RNA (254 nucleotides) under uncultured bacterium. RNAcentral describes it as "partial 16S ribosomal RNA". It matches the Rfam family "Bacterial small subunit ribosomal RNA", at positions 524 to 776 of the family's 1533-position model. The record is from RNAcentral.